This 127-nucleotide non-coding RNA is filed under the name unclassified sequences. The record is from Rfam.
GCUCUGCUGUUUCUACGGGGCAGCAGGCCGGUGCUAAUCAGGUGCCAGCCAUCAAGUCCAGCUUCGGCAAACUCAUGUCCGAGUGGUGGCAAUGGCAGGGAGUAGCUCAUCGAAACCUGCUGUCACU